This is a non-coding RNA of Pelobates cultripes (western spadefoot toad), 9640 nucleotides long. The record is from the annotation of a GenBank genome assembly. Lineage: Eukaryota; Metazoa; Chordata; Amphibia; Anura; Pelobatidae.
GGAUCUCUUCAUAAAGACUUUUCAGCAAUAUUAGAUUAAAAUUACAAUAGCAUUUUUCUGCAUAUGGAUUUGUGCAUACAACAUUGAAGCAACAUUAUAUUCAUAUAAAACGUAAGGCAUGAUGUUAUUAGAACUCUGUUGGUCUAUACAGUCACAAUUUUUAUAGCAGCACACUUCUGUUGUGUAUAUAAUAUGAAGAACAGCAAUGUUAUCGUAAAAUGUUAUUUUAACAUAAAUUUGGGAUGUUUAAAAUAGCAAAACAAUUGUAGAUUAUGCUAGUGUAGUGUAUCUAUAAUCUUAAUUUUAAUAAUUACAGGAGACGAAGGUUUGCAUACAUUUCUUUACUGAAAACUCCAGCAGCACAGAUCAAUCAAAAGUUUAAACCAAUCAAAAACAAACAGUCUUUGAAACGAACAGUCCCAUAAAACUAGGAUAGAAAACUCAGAACCAGAAAUGUAGAAGAAAUCUGAAUGUCCUCGCAAAGGAAAUCCAAACUGUAGCUGAACCGAAAUCCAACCAAAAUAAGAGGGAAAGUCUUCAAACUGAAAAGAACAAAAACAAGUGACAGGCAAGCUUAAUGACUGAGUGCCAAACAAAGUCGUCAUAACAACAUGAUGUUAUAGAACUACAUUAUUAAUGUACAUGACAAUCAAACCUAAACACUAAGAUUACAUAUAGAUGUUAAACAGAAUAGAAAAAAGCAAAAUAACAAAUCCUUUAACAAAACAGUAGAAAUAAGAACAGGGAGGGAGAAAAAAAGGGGGGGAAAUAUUUGCCUCCUGUUAUUACUAAAAUUAAUAUUAUAUGUACACUACGUUAGCAUGAUCUACAAAUUUACCACAUGACAGGAGGCUUCAUAUUUGCAUUUUUACCGGUAAGGAAGUAGUGCAAAAGAAGCGUGAGAAGAAGCCUAAAAAUAGAAAACCCGAAAGGUAUCUUCACAAUAUCAAUCCGCAGAACUCGUGAUGUCCGCGAGGGAGGCACCUGCCAAAAAUCUUGCGACUCCCCCGCAGCAAGGAAUGCACACCAAAAGGAAGAGUCGAUCCCGGCCAGCGGAAGAAAACAACAAACCCAUCUCGCUAGAGUCAUCGAAGAGACAGGGUUGUAAGGUUGCACAUAUGAAAUGAGAGUUGGUGUAAGGAGUGCAAAGAAUUGUCCAGCCAGUCCCAGAGGAAGCAGAGGACCCACGUCAACGUCAAGUAUUUCAGGAGCGGGAGGGGCGGGUUAGACAAAGACCUCUCAUGAGACAACAGACCAUUGGUCAUCCUUGUAACUAAACUUGCACUGCUGAAAUGACUGAACGCAAAACGUUAACGGAGCUGUAUGACUGACCUCACGAGAAAAAGUGAUCAAGUAGGUGGGGCUGUAAAGGCAUCAGAGUAUCUCUCCAGACACCAGCUAGACCAUUUGUUCCAGGAUGCGAGGUAACAUGUUUGCCCACGAAUCUCAUAGUAGAUCCUGUGAUAGUCCUUUGACUGCCCAGAUACCCCUGAAACCACCAGGCCACAAGUUGCAGUUGGUGCUGUAGUAUUAGAGGAUGUGGUUCCCCUUGGGGAUUGGACAGCAACAGUGGAAAGGUCAGUUGAAGUAGGGGGUGUUCAUAGGACAGUUCCAGUAGGAACUAUGCCUGACUCGGCCACAGUGUGGUGUAAUCAGCAGCAGUGAAAUCCUUUGAGUACAGACCUUGUGAACAACUCUCGUCCACAUGGAGAAUGGUGGGACUUGGAGGAAUGCAUCCACUGCUUUGCAUUCCGGGUCUGGAAGCCAACUGAAGAAUCUUAGGAGUUGAUGGUUCAUCUGCGAUGCAAAGAGAUCUAUCAGUAGGGGACCUCUGCACAGAGACAGCAUGUGGAAGAUCAUGUUUUGUAGUCUCCAGUUGCUGGAAUCCCACCAGUGACGGGAGUACCAGUCCACCGUGAGGUUGGAAGUCCAUGCUAGGUAUUGAGUGAUGUUCCAUGAGAGACAAAAGGUGUAAAUGUCCUUGGUCACUUCCAAUAGAGCUUGUGAGCAAGCCCCGCCCGAGAUGUUCUUCAUGCGUAGCAGGAAGCAGCAGUCGGACCUCCGUUUGGCCAGACUGAGGAUGAUGUGUAGAUCUGUCUCUCCAUGUAGCCAUGGUCCACCCGUGGAUGAGUCUGCACAGUGUGCCCCCUAGACCCAUAAACUGGCAUCUGAUUCCACCACAAAUUCCAGUAAUGGAUCAAAUAUGGCUUUCAUAUGGAGAAGCCACCAGUGGAGUUCUGUACGCACCUUGGGGUUGAGAGGUAUCAGCUGAUCGUAGGCAAAGCCUGCACGUGGGUAUCUGGCUUGCAAGGCCCUGUAGUGUAGAGGGCCACGGUAGACAGCUUCAGUGGAGGCGGAGUGGAGACACAUUACCCGUGCAAGAAGAUGAAGAGGGAUGUUAUCCAUCCGUAGAACCUUUCUGAUCUCCUUUCAUGGAUUCAAUAUUUGUACGAAGCUGAGCUAAGUCUGAACAGGAGGCCAGUGAAUUGGCAUGGAAGAUCUCGCCAGCAGAAGCAAAGGAAUUUCCUGCAAGAAGGUGCCACCAGAACCGAAACUUAUGCGUCCUUUAGUUCUGGUCAAGUACACCAAAUAAACCAAAAUCGUCCUAAAGGAGCAGGUCACGAAGUUGGUAAAUACCUUCCAUUUUGAAAUGGCACUAGACCUCAAAAGCGUUGAGUUGAUGGAGGUUGAUGACUGGACGGAAAUCUCCUGUUUUCUUCCGCAGCAGAAAUAUAUUUCUGGAGAAACCUCCCCCUGUCGUGUGUGUAUUGUACUGCGCCUUUGGAAAAGCGCGCCUACAUUUCCUCGUCUAUAAGGAUCCUGUGGUUGUGGUUGAUGCAGGACUCCAAUGGCACAGUAAAUCGGUGUAUAAAAUAAAUAUAAAGGUAUAAAAUCAGUCUUACUCACACUUUUCAGAGCUCUGAUCCUAGCUCUGAAAAGUGUGAGUAAGACUGAUUUUAUACCUUUAUAUUUAUUUUAUACACCGAUUUACUGUGCCAUUGGAGUCCUGUUUUUAUUUUUCUCUCCACAUAUGCUGAAUUCUCAACAUUUGAAGAUACGAUCCCACCUACACCCUAAAGAAUAUUCCUUUACAAGUGGGACCUACCCUCACGGACUGUGAUAAGCCUAUUUUAUUGGACUAUUGUUUUAUUACUUAUUUUAUUCUGUAUUUUAUCUGACUAAUUUAGUCUUUUAUUUUAUCAAGUUUUAGGCGCAUCCUUAUAUCUAUGUUUGUUCUAGCCGGUGAAGAAUAGCUGAAGUAGACAGAUUAGGCCUUGGGCCGGUAGCUCAGAAUCGGCUGGUGGCACGGCUUCUCUGUCGACCAGCCCAUUGAAAAACACCCCCUGUUGGAGUGGAUCUGAAGACUUGUCUCAGGGAUGUCUGUGCUUUGUUGAGUGUCGUGAAUAGCGAGACAUGGUUCCUAAGCUUCGAGAUAAAUGGCUCACCAAAUAUGACUCAGCCUUUGGCUGAAGAACCCAAUUCUUUAUCAGCCAUGUUCAUGAGCUUAGUGUCAAUUCUUAGUAGAGCUGCUCUACGUCUCUCAGUGCAGAGAGCAUCAUUCGUGUUUCCUAGAAUGCAGAUGCGACAUUGAGCCCAUUCUCGCACAGCAUGUGGAUCCAAUUGGGUGCCCUGAAAGAGAGAGGGGCCUAGAUUAUCAAGUAGCUUAUCUUGAGUUGUCUUCAAUCCUUUAUCUGUCAAGCAAUCAAGGGUGAGGACAUUCCAGCCAUAGUAGAGCCCUGACUUCCCGUUCCAGUGGCUUGCUAAUCCAAAAAUGUCUAAAUUUCGCUAGGUGAUUAGGAAGCCUCCAUUCUGAGGACAUCUGGCAUCGGAUGGUCUUAGGGUCAAAUAAUGUGUAUCCAGGAACAGGUCGUCCUCUUGGUGUGGAGAGUGUUCGUGUGAAUUGUCAACACGAAGAGCACAAGGUUUCGCCUACAAAGGACUCCCGAACAUAUUUGAAAUCUGGAGUAGGAAGAUCUUGCCUGUCCUCAUCACCUUGCGACAUGGAAUCAUUCACUCUCCAUUCGUCCAGAAUGUCCAACGCAUUAGAAGGGUAAUCGUCAUCCUCCUCUGAGGAAGAGGUGGUGCGUUUGGAAGAGGUGGUGCGUUUAACCAGCUCUUUGCCCAUCUGGUCUGGAGUACCCUGAGCUGCCUUUCCUAAGGCACUUGGUAAGGGGUGGAAAGUUCUUAGUGGACAUCUCUGAACACAAUGCUUUCUCAUCUCGGGGCGGGGACAUGCCCGCAGAUUGAACACCUCGGGAGAAGGUUGGGUUAGCCUUUUGGAGAGAGCUUUCUCUACUGAAGCUGACACUAUAGCAUUAAUUGUGGACUGAAAGUCCUGGGUUUGUGGUGGUGAGUCAGUUAUAGUGAAGCGUGGCUAUUCCUGUGGGAGAGAGGACAUACGCUAGUCUCCGGUCAAGGCGAGAUUCCAGCCUGCCGGGCAUUCCUCUUGGAGUACAAUCAGGGUUAGCCCUUAGAUAAAUCCUACACCCAACCGCAGAUACCUCUCAGAAUAAUGUGAGGGUUCACCCAUCACUGACGCUCAUAAUGAAGGGCUAAAUUGUCAGGGACAGACACCAUGAAGUAGGCGGAGGCGCUGACAGCCUCCAGAAUGCAAGGAACAAUCCUUGAACCCCUUUCGGCGGGGUAGGUACCAUAUAGUCGGAUCUCUGUGUAAUAAUCCCAAAAGGGUUAAGGUACCAUAGUAAUGCCCUUAAUAUGUUUGUCAAAUGAGGCUCAUCCUAAUUGUACUGCAGGGGUUCAACCCAGUGUGCAAUGAGAUCUGUGGUCUGCACCAACAGGCAAGUAGACAUUUAUUAUACAUAUGCAUAUAUAUACCAUGUGGAUAGUAGAUUAGGCAGUGAUAUAUUUUUAAUAGUAUUGAAGUUUGAGCAGGUUAGGCAGAGGUCCACUUUAAACAUAACCGCAAUAGAGGUUUCAGAGAAGCAGGUACUAAAUCCCUUACUUGUAUACAAUAGCACAGUCCUGAACUGAACAUUCCAGCAGGAGGUUGUUCUGCGAGGCAGGCAAUGCGGUUUCUCUGUGGCUUCAGUGAUAGAGGGCGAUGAUCCCAGCAAGAUAAGUAUGUUCCAGGGUCCAAUAUCGCUAGUGUGUGCGCCAGAUGGCCUGCAACAACAAACCAAAAUGGCCACCGUGAAUCUUGCAUGUUAAGAAAUCCAAAAUGGCCGCCACAUGCGAAGACCCAGAAAUAACUCCUAAGGGUCCGGGGGAGCAGCAGUAUGCAGCAGAAAGGAGUCUCAGCUACCCACCACACCCCAAACUUGGUCCAGAAAACCCCAAACACAAACUGCAAACCGGUAAAGAGCCCAGUUAGCGCACCAAUAAAGCAGGCCACGGCGUGAGCAUCAGACAGAAGGGGUAUAGAGUGUGUUAAAGGAAGCCUUUAGUUUUCUUAGACAGUAAGAAAAGUGGGGAAUAAAGUACAGAAAAUAACUACAGACCAGGAUAGGGAAAGGGAUGUAGCAAUGAUCAGUGUAAGAGUAAACAGAGAAGUAAAAAAAUCACAUCAUCAUGAAAAACACAAUGUAGAUGUAAGAGAGCCAAUACUCUGACCUGUGCCCAACAGAAGCAGCAAAGAAAGAGGAGGAGUCAAGGCUAUAUAUAGUUCAAGGCUGUUUAUUUUUUAUUGGUUUAAACUUUUUAUUGAUCUGUGUUGCUGGAGUUUUUAGUAAAGAAAGUUAUGCAAAAAUUAUAUUAAAAGAAAAAACAGCAAGAGAAAUUAUACCCAUACUUUUGGGUAUAAUUUCUCUUAAAUGACUUUUCAGCAGUUAAAUGGAUAAUGUGUACACUUCCUCCCCAUCUCUUUACUAAUCGUCGACAUCAAAUUAUUAGCCAUUUGGAAUUGAGACAAUCCCGUCCCAUCUCUUUACUAAACGUCGACAUCAAAUUAUUCACUAAAUUACUAGCGAACCGUGUCCGGCCUUUUCUCCCAAAGCUAAUCCAUCCAGAUCAAGCAGGUUUUAUUUCCUCUCGACAAGCAUGCAAUAUCACGAUGCAAAUAUUCGACUUGAUCUCUACAAGCAACCAUAGGAAAAUCUUCACACUAUUCCUCUCCCUCAAAGCCGAAAAAGCAUUUGAUUGCAUACUGUGGCCCCUCCUAUUCGCUACACUUUCCAAAUUAGAUUCUGGGAAAUCCAUUCUUACAGCUAUACAAGGAUUAUACCCUUAACCAACGGCAAACCUACUGAUUCCAAAUGUCCACACCCACAUUUUCAGUAUUCAAUGGCACACGCCAUGGAUGCCCCCUUUCUCCACUUCUAUUCGCCCUAUCCGUGGAACCACUCCUCCAAAAGAUAUGAGCAGACAAAAACAUGCAUCAAAAUCGGCAACGACGAAUGCAAAUUAGCUGCGUAUUCUGAUGACCUCCUCCUGAUAAUUAUCGAACCCACGCUCUCACUUCCCCUGCUCCUGGCUCUACUAGCUCAAUAUACUGACAAAUCUGGGUACAAACUUAAAGGGACACUGCAGGCACCCAGACCACUUCUGCCCAUUGGAGUGGUCUGGGUGCCAACUCCCACUACCCUUAACCCUGCAAGUGUAAUUAUUGCAGUUUUUUAUAAAUUGCAAUAAUUACCUUGCAGGGUUAACUCCUCCUCUAGUGACUGUCUGCUAGACAGCCACUAGAGGGCACUUCCGUAUCUAUACAGGUUUUCUGUGAUAGAGCGUCGCUGGACGUCCUCACGCUGUGUGAGGACCUCCAGCGUCACUCAAUUCCCCAUAGGAAAGCAUUGAAAAGCAUUUCCAAUGCUUUCCUAUGCAGAGCUCUAAUGCACGUGCGCGGCAAUUGCCGCGCAUGCGCAUUAGGUCUCCCUGGCCGGCCGGCGGCAUCAGUCUCGCCCACCGGCUGACGUAAGGAAGGGGAGGAGCGGUGGCGACCUGAAACCACCGCCGAGGGUUUUCACCCCUUCAGCAAUCGGGGAUGGGGGGUUGAAGGGAGAGGGGACCUGCAGUGCCAGGAAAACAGAUUGGCACUGGAGUGUCCCUUUAACCUGGACAAAACAGAAGCAAUGCUCAUUCAUAUUCCGCCUCAGACAAUCUACGCUUUAAAACAAAGCACCCCUUUCACUUUGAAGACCAAAAACUUCACUAUCUAGGCAUCUACCAGCAGAUUUACACAGGACGUACCAAAUGAACUAGUCCUCGAAGCAGCACACAAAGACCUACAAACCUGGCAAAACGUAUCUAUCUCCUGGAUAGGUAGACUGGCCGCAGUAAAAAUUAACCAGCUCCCCCACUUCCUUUAUCUUUUCCAGGCUCUCCCUGUCCCCAUUUCAAGACGCUCCAAACACAGAUAGAUAAGUUUGUUUGGGCUGGGGAAAAAGCCAGAAUAAAGAGACUCAUGAUGUAUGCCCCACAUAAAGCUAGGGGCCUGGGAUUACCAAACCUUCUAUCAGGCAGCCCAAAUGGGCCAAAUCCCAAACCUUCAAGCCCCAGCAGGACUAAAAAUAUGGGUCGACCUGGAACACAACAUAUUCGGCAGGGAUUUCCCCUCCCUUUACAUCUGGCUCCCAAAACAGGACAGACCAUGGAUACAAUCCAUGACACCGGCAGUGACUAACUUCAUACAGGUAUGGGACUAAGGCAUCAGUAAACAUGACAUUGUAAUUAGACCCUAAUCCCUAUCGCCAGUACUAAGAAAUAAUAAAUUUUCUCCGGGCAUGACUCCACAACACUUUCGACAAUUUGAAGAAAAUGUCCUCCUCAGAGUUUAUCAGUUCUUCCACAACCAACAAAUCCUCCAAUUCCGAGACCGGCCCCAGAUCACGCCAUUCACCACAUUUGACUACUUUAGAUACCUCCAUAUCAGCAGCUUCCUGACAAAUGCACGAAACAAACCGGUGGCCAUCUCCAAACUCACCGCUUUUGAAAAAACAUGCAUACAGACCCCAAUUCAAAACGGACAAAUAUACUCAAACUAUAACCUUUUGCACCACACCACUUCUCCACAGGCAUUGUUGUACGUGUCACCUUGGGAGAGGGACUUGGGCAUGCCAGAGGACCCCUCGGACUGGCAUGAAAUCUUGGAGGCCACGGCAUCAGAAUCUAUAUGUGUCAAGCACAAGGAGCAGGCAUAUAAGACCUUGUUUCAGUGGUACCUAACACCCCUUAUACAAAAACAGAUGACACGAGACAGAUCGGACCUGUGCUGGAAGGGCUAUGGGAUGACAGGCACCUAUAUCCACCUAUGGUCCUCUGCUCGGUCCUCCUAUGGACCCCUGGACCUGGUUGCUAUCCAAACCAAUCAGCGAUCUCCACAGAGCCCAAAACAAGUUUAUCAAAAAAAUAGCCGUAGCCACUAUAAGAACCAUUGCCAGGCAUUGGGGGAGCACAGACAUCCCCGCUUUAACUGAGGUCCUGGAGAAAAUAGAAGAGACAAAGGAAAUGGACAAACUGUCAGCACUUGUCCAUGAAAACAAAAAAAUUUUACCAUAAAAUCUGGGACCCCUGGACUGGAGGAACCCAGAGUGUACCUUAAGGGAGCAGGACGAGACCUGGACAUCUCCACCCCCUCUCCCAAGUUCUUCUCACACUUAUUUCCCCCUCUCUCCUUUUUUCUUUUUUUCCCCCUCUCUUUACAAACCCCCCAACCUUUCCACCACUACAUCUGUACUGCCAAAGGGUGUCUCUUCGGAGACACAGUAACCACAUACACUGCAUAAAAGCCUUUACAAUACAGACACACAUACACCAACUGAUGGUGAUGGUGUAUCACAGUCAUAGCAUGAUACACUGUUACUAUUAAUAUAUGUGGCAAUGUUAACCCCUGUUAAACCUUGUUAUCAAUUUUUACUAUGUCUGCACACAUUCCUGAUGAUGUACUGGUGUUAUUCCACCCUGAAACUGCUGUAACACUUCACUUUUACUAUUAUUGUAAGUUACUUUCUGUCAUUUUAUCUAUUUAUGAACAAAAUAAAAAUUCCAGAAAUAAAGAAUUAAAAAACAAAACAAAAGGAUAAUGUGUGAAAUGUUAUCACAUUUAAUAAAAUGUUUUGUCACAAAUUGUCAUCUAUUGAUAUAUGUGCUAUUAAAUGCAAUGUGUGUGUAUUUUUUAUAUCUAGUUACUAGUAGUUUUGUGGCAUUUUUAGACCUCCUAAAUGUAUCAUUGAUUGUAUACGGUUGCAUAAAACUUUGAAAGAGGUAUGGGUUACUACUGUACCCCAAUAAACUAGUAACAAACAAGUGACUUCUUGUGUGUUUAAGUUUCUGCUCGCUCGCAUGUAUAAUGUACGCCUGUCGCAGUUAUGUAAGCUGUGUUGCUGAAAAACUAUAAAAGCUGGGAUUUUCUGUUAUUUCGCAGAAGCUCCACCUGUGGAUGGACACAUCGCGCAGGACUGUCCUAAUUUACCUGAAACUCUAGGCUAGGAUUAAAAAAGGGGGUUUUCCUAGCCUAGUUCUACAAUAGAUUAAUCAGUGAUGUAUUUACUUUUAAGCUUCUCCCAAUUAAGACUGACUCCUGGUGCAAGCUUGGAUGUUGAUUUUCUGCAUUAAUCAUUGAUGUAAUGCUAAUCCUUGUAAGUAGAUUCUACUAUAUUAUCCUUUACUUUUGUAAAUAUUCUUUAGCAACACUAUAGAUCUAUUCUUCAAUAAUACUAUUUUAUUAUGUAAUAAAAACAUUCAUUAU